AAAAUGAUGAAGCACAUUCACUCUGCUAAAUUAAAAAUAAUAAAAGGAAAAAAAUAAUAAAAGGUUUAAAAGUUUAAGAAGCAGGGGAAAAUGGAAGACAGGAUGUAACCAAAUUAUAUAAAGCAAUUGGUUUCUGGUUUGAGGAGUCCAUUCAAAACCAUCACACGGGAUGCCAAGAGCAAUGCCUCAGUCCACCACUGGAGAAACUUCAUCUUGCCAGGUUUUUGGAAAGUUUCUACACCCCAUAAGUCUCUCCGCCCAUGCAGCAAUCCAAAUCAGACCAAAUCAAACUGAAUUAGAAAA
Molecule: long non-coding RNA, 303 nt
Filed under: Cricetulus griseus (Chinese hamster)
Lineage: Eukaryota; Metazoa; Chordata; Mammalia; Rodentia; Cricetidae
Description: lncRNA (ENSCGRG00015004693.2)
Source: RNAcentral